ACCAAGUGCAGUGGAACACGCCUGUAGUCCCAGCUCCUUGGGAGGCGAGAGGAUUGCUUAAGUCCAGGUAUUCUGGGCUGUUGUGCACUAUGCCAUUUAGGUGUGCACAUUAAGUUUGGCAUCAACAUGGUGACCUCCCAGGAGCAGAGGACCACCAGGUUGCCUAAGGAGGGGUGAACCAGGCCAGGUUUGAAAGGGAGCAGCUCAAAACUUCCCUGCUGAGCAAUAGUGGGAUCUUCCAGUAAAUAGCCACUGCACUCCAGCCUGGGCAACAUAGCAAGACCCUCUCU
This is an unclassified non-coding RNA of Microcebus murinus (gray mouse lemur), 290 nucleotides long. It matches the Rfam family "Metazoan signal recognition particle RNA". From Rfam's summary of the family: The signal recognition particle (SRP) is a universally conserved ribonucleoprotein. The record is from Ensembl. NCBI's taxonomy places the organism in Eukaryota, Metazoa, Chordata, Mammalia, Primates, Cheirogaleidae.